UAAACUGACAAUCUACAACAGUUCUGUGAC
This 30-nucleotide non-coding RNA is filed under the name Mus musculus (house mouse). Lineage: Eukaryota; Metazoa; Chordata; Mammalia; Rodentia; Muridae. The record is from RNAcentral.